GAGUAAAAAAUCUAUAGUAUUUUUUUUUUUUUUGAAAAAAAAGAUAGCAUGUUAUUCACUUUGUUUUAUUUUUUAAAAAAUAAACUUAGCUGAAAAUAUGAAUAACUUAGCUAAAAAUAUAAAUCAAUUAGAAUUUGAACUUGAGAUCUCAAGUAUCAACCACCAAAUCAUUUGCCACUUGCACUAAUUAAUUAAUCAUUUUGAGGGACAGGUAGCAUUCUGCCCGCUUCGUUUAUUUCAUUUAGAAAUAAAUUUUGCUAAAAAUAUAAAUAAAGUAGGAUUCAAACUUGAAAUUUCGGAUACCAACCAUCAAAGUCUUUUCUACUUAGGUUAGGGACGGUCGGUUUGCACUAGUUAAUUUCAAUUCGAUACAAUAAUAGUAGCAUCUAUAACUAUAUAUUAUUCUUCAAUAACUGCACACGUAUUGCAAGGAGGCCGAGGCGCGGGCGGC
This 451-nucleotide long non-coding RNA is filed under the name Ananas comosus (pineapple). RNAcentral describes it as "long non-coding RNA (ACOM_LNC010968)". The record is from RNAcentral. Lineage: Eukaryota; Viridiplantae; Streptophyta; Magnoliopsida; Poales; Bromeliaceae.